UGGGGAAUAUUGCGCAAUGGGCGAAAGCCUGACGCAGCGACGCCGCGUGAGGGAAGAAGGCCUUCGGGUCGUAAACCUCUGUCAUGGAGGGAAGAAACCAUGUGGAGUCGAAUCAGGCUCUCUGUGCUGACGUACUCCG
RNAcentral lists this ribosomal RNA (139 nucleotides) under uncultured bacterium. RNAcentral describes it as "partial 16S ribosomal RNA". It matches the Rfam family "Bacterial small subunit ribosomal RNA", at positions 355 to 482 of the family's 1533-position model. The record is from RNAcentral.